ACCAAUACAUACCGUGUGACAACAUAAGAGAACUUUGGUGACUAGCACGUCUGGCCAGUCAGACCAUCAGCACUGGAGUCCUUCAGGUUUUAUAAGCUUUUAAACCUCAGGGCUACGUGACUAGUGCCCAUUCUUCAAUGAAACUGCCUAUCAUCAGCAUAAUUACUCAUCAGUUGCAGGUUACAUAACAAAGUCUUGAUAAUAAUGAAGAACAGGUGCUUGGUCUGAUACACAGUUACCUC
This 242-nucleotide long non-coding RNA is filed under the name Bos taurus (domestic cattle). RNAcentral describes it as "long non-coding RNA NONBTAT011598". Lineage: Eukaryota; Metazoa; Chordata; Mammalia; Artiodactyla; Bovidae. The record is from RNAcentral.